CGUACACUCCUGCGGGAGGCAGCAGUGGGGAAUAUUGGACAAUGGGCGCAAGCCUGAUCCAGCCAUGGCGCGUGAGUGAUGAAGGCCCUAGGGUUGUAAAGCUCUUUCACCGGUGAAGAUAAUGACGGUAACCGGAGAAGAAGCCCCGGCUAACUUCGUGCCAGCAGCCGCGGUAAUACGAAGGGGGCUAGCGUUGUUCGGAUUUACUGGGCGUAAAGCGCACGUAGGCGGACUAUUAAGUCAGGGGUGAAAUCCCGGGGCUCAACCCCGGAACUGCCUUUGAUACUGGUAGUCUUGAGUUCGAGAGAGGUGAGUGGAAUUCCGGGUGUAGAGGUGAAAUUCGUAGAUAUUCGGAGGAACACCAGUGGCGAAGGCGGCUCACUGGCUCGAUACUGACGCUGAGGUGCGAAAGCGUGGGGAGCAAACAGGAUUAGAAACCCUGGUAGUCCCAUG
Molecule: ribosomal RNA, 453 nt
Filed under: uncultured organism
Description: partial 16S ribosomal RNA
Rfam family: Bacterial small subunit ribosomal RNA
Source: RNAcentral